This 484-nucleotide ribosomal RNA is filed under the name uncultured bacterium. RNAcentral describes it as "partial 16S ribosomal RNA". It matches the Rfam family "Bacterial small subunit ribosomal RNA", at positions 30 to 507 of the family's 1533-position model. The record is from RNAcentral.
AUUGAACGCUGGCGGCAGGCCUAACACAUGCAAGUCGAGCGGAUGAAGGGAGCUUGCUCCUGGAUUCAGCGGCGGACGGGUGAGUAAUGCCUAGGAAUCUGCCUGGUAGUGGGGGAUAACGUCCGGAAACGGGCGCUAAUACCGCAUACGUCCUGAGGGAGAAAGUGGGGGAUCUUCGGACCUCACGCUAUCAGAUGAGCCUAGGUCGGAUUAGCUAGUUGGUGGGGUAAAGGCCUACCAAGGCGACGAUCCGUAACUGGUCUGAGAGGAUGAUCAGUCACACUGGAACUGAGACAGGGACCAGACUCCUACGGGAGGCAGCAGUGGGGAAUAGUGGACAAUGGGCGAAAGCCUGAUCCAGCCAGGCCGCGUGUGUGAAGAAGGUCUUCGGAUUGUAAAGCACUUUAAGUUGGGAGGAAGGGCAGUAAGUUAAUACCUUGCUGUUUUGACGUUACCAACAGAAUAAGCACCGGCUAACUUCGUG